UACGAAGGGGGCUAGCGUUGCUCGGAAUCACUGGGCGUAAAGCGCACGUAGGCGGACUCUUAAGUCGGUGGUGAAAUCCUGGAGCUCAACUCCAGAACUGCCUUCGAUACUGGGAGUCUCGAGUCCGGGAGAGGUGAGUGGAACUGCGAGUGUAGAGGUGAAAUUCGUAGAUAUUCGCAAGAACACCAGUGGCGAAGGCGGCUCACUGGCCCGGUACUGACGCUGAGGUGCGAAAGCGUGGGGAGCAUACAGG
RNAcentral lists this ribosomal RNA (253 nucleotides) under uncultured bacterium. RNAcentral's name for it is "partial 16S ribosomal RNA". It matches the Rfam family "Bacterial small subunit ribosomal RNA", at positions 524 to 776 of the family's 1533-position model. The record is from RNAcentral.